This 253-nucleotide ribosomal RNA is filed under the name uncultured bacterium. Its description in RNAcentral is "partial 16S ribosomal RNA". It matches the Rfam family "Bacterial small subunit ribosomal RNA", at positions 524 to 776 of the family's 1533-position model. The record is from RNAcentral.
UACGGGGGGGGUAAGCGUUGUUCGGAAUUACUGGGCGUAAAGGGUGCGUAGGCGGCAGCGCAAGUCAGGUGUGAAAUCCCGGGGCUCAACCCCGGAACUGCACUUGAUACUGCGUUGCUAGAGUACUGGAGAGGAGACUGGAAUUUACGGUGUAGCAGUGAAAUGCGUAGAUAUCGGGAGGAACACCUGUGGCGAAAGCGGCGCACUGGACCACAACUGACGCUGAGGCGCGCAAGCUAGGGGAGCAAACAGG